RNAcentral lists this ribosomal RNA (497 nucleotides) under uncultured bacterium. RNAcentral's name for it is "partial 16S ribosomal RNA". It matches the Rfam family "Bacterial small subunit ribosomal RNA", at positions 28 to 507 of the family's 1533-position model. The record is from RNAcentral.
GAUGAACGCUGGCGGCGUGCCUAAUACAUGCAAGUCGAGCGAACAGACGAGGAGCUUGCUCCUCUGACGUUAGCGGCGGACGGGUGAGUAACACGUGGAUAACCUACCUAUAAGACUGGGAUAACUUCGGGAAACCGGAGCUAAUCCCGGAUAAUCUCUUGAACCGCAUGGUUCCAUAGUGAAAGACGGUUUUGCUGUCACUUAUCGAUGGAUCCGCGCCGCAUUAGCUAGUUGGUAAGGUAACGGCUUACCAAGGCAACGAUGCGUAGCCGACCUGAGAGAGUGAUCGGCCACACGGGAACUGAGACACGGUCCAGACGCCUAAGGGAGGCAGCAGUAGGGAAUCGUCCGCAAUGGGCGAAAGCUUGACGGAGCAACGCCGCGUGAGUGAUGAAGGUCUUCGGAGCGUAAAACUCUGUUAUUAGGGAAGAACAAAUGUGUAAGUAACUAAGCACGUCUUGACGGUACCUAAUCAGAAAGCCACGGCUAACUACGUG